Molecule: ribosomal RNA, 565 nt
Filed under: Aspergillus oryzae
Lineage: Eukaryota; Fungi; Ascomycota; Eurotiomycetes; Eurotiales; Aspergillaceae
Description: partial large subunit ribosomal RNA
Rfam family: Eukaryotic large subunit ribosomal RNA
Source: RNAcentral
CGGGAUUGCCUCAGUAACGGCGAGUGAAGCGGCAAGAGCUCAAAUUUGAAAGCUGGCUCCUUCGGGGUCCGCAUUGUAAUUUGCAGAGGAUGCUUCGGGUGCGGCCCCUGUCUAAGUGCCCUGGAACGGGCCGUCAGAGAGGGUGAGAAUCCCGUCUGGGAUGGGGUGUCCGCGCCCGUGUGAAGCUCCUUCGACGAGUCGAGUUGUUUGGGAAUGCAGCUCUAAAUGGGUGGUAAAUUUCAUCUAAAGCUAAAUACUGGCCGGAGACCGAUAGCGCACAAGUAGAGUGAUCGAAAGAUGAAAAGCACUUUGAAAAGAGAGUUAAAAAGCACGUGAAAUUGUUGAAAGGGAAGCGCUUGCGACCAGACUCGCCUCCAGGGUUCAGCCGGCAUUCGUGCCGGUGUACUUCCCUGGGGGCGGGCCAGCGUCGGUUUGGGCGGCCGGUCAAAGGCUCCCGGAAUGUAGUGCCCUCCGGGGCACCUUAUAGCCGGGAGUGCAAUGCGGCCAGCCUGGACCGAGGAACGCGCUUCGGCACGGACGCUGGCAUAAUGGUCGUAAACGACCC